AGAUUGAACGCUGGCGGCAUGCCUAACACAUGCAAGUCGAGCGGCAGCGCGGGGGCGACCCUGGCGGCGAGCGGCGGACGGGUGAGUAAGGCAUCGGAAUCUGCCCUGAUGUGGGGGAUAACGUAGGGAAACUUACGCUAAUACCGCAUACGACCGAGAGGUGAAAGCGGGGGACCGAAAGGCCGUCGCGCAGCAGGAGUGAGCCGACUGUCCGGACUUAGUCUGGUUGGUUGGGGGUAAACGGGGACCCGACCCAAACGGCGGACCGGAUCGGUAGGCUGGUCGUGAGAGGGAGUGAUCAGCCACACUGGGACGUGAGACACGGCCCACGACUCCUACCGGGAGGGCAGC
Molecule: ribosomal RNA, 351 nt
Filed under: uncultured prokaryote
Description: bacterial SSU rRNA
Rfam family: Bacterial small subunit ribosomal RNA
Source: RNAcentral